Molecule: transfer RNA, 85 nt
Filed under: subsurface metagenome
Description: tRNA-Ser
Rfam family: tRNA
About the family: Transfer RNA (tRNA) molecules are approximately 80 nucleotides in length. Their secondary structure includes four short double-helical elements and three loops (D, anti-codon, and T loops).
Source: RNAcentral
GGAGGGCUAGUCCUAACAGGUAAGGCAGCGGACUUGAAAUCCGCCGGGUUUGCGCCCUUGGGGGUUCGAAUCCCUCGCCCUCCGC